This 1592-nucleotide unclassified non-coding RNA is filed under the name Hevea brasiliensis (rubber tree). The record is from RNAcentral. Lineage: Eukaryota; Viridiplantae; Streptophyta; Magnoliopsida; Malpighiales; Euphorbiaceae.
CAAGGAGUGCUUGCAAGUAGAGAAAGGAAAGACCUUUUACGACUUCCAGUUCAACACAAGGAUUGUCAAAUCGACAAUCGUGCAUUUUCAGGUAGAAACUUUUGGCUCUGUUCCAUCAUUCUCUUUAUAUUUUAUUCGUCAUCCCAACCAAAAACCCAUCCAGUUAGAAAACGCAUGCGUCUCGUUUUGAUGUUUAAAUUUUAAAUUUCUUGGUUCUAGAAAUUUAUUUUCAGCGGAGUUCUCUCCUUUUAUUUUAUCUUUUUGUUUAUUAUUAUUUUUCUUUUCCCUUUCUCUUUGUUUCUUCUGUUGGUCCUACUUGUGUUACCUUUUGUGGUCCACGCUUUUGAUGCAUAAGACAUUUCAUAAUCGCUGUGCACAAGUGCCUGAUUUCAUAAUCGGAGUGCCUGACACGCGAUCCAUUUUAAAUUUUUUCCUUACAAAAAAUACAAAUCAAUGUUAAUCUUCCGGAGUCCGUAUGCUGAUGUUGCAUCUUAGUGGUAUCUCUCAUAUUCUGUGAUCUUUGUUUAUGCACAUGUCAUUAGUUUAUAGUUUUGCAGGUCUAGUCAAUUUGUUAUUGGCUUAUUGUCCAUAUGAUCAUAUCUUUUUUAUGUGAUUAUAGCUCUGUGCCUGAACUUGUUGGAGGUAUGAUGUUUGAUAUUGAUCCCUUUCAUAUGUUAAAAUUAUCUGAAUGCAUUCAACUAAUGAACAACUGGCUUAAGUUUCCAGAUUAAGUUAUGGUCCAGUGAGGUCGUUAUACCAAUUACUCUUCUGGCCUGCAUGGUGGCGACUUAAAUCUUUCUGGAUAUAUGAGCAUAUCUUUUGAAAAUUGACUUCAUUGAUUAUGAACUUCUCAAUUCUGGACAGACUCUUGGCUUUUGGACGGGGAACUUGGUUCUUUUUUUUUUUUAUAAAUUUUACGGUGUUCCCAACACAGGCUUCAAGUUGGGUUUGUAUUCACUAACCCUUUUUGCGCAGAUUUCUGAGGGAUGCUUACUUUAACGCACUGGUAAACAGUUUCUCAAAAUUUAAUCAAAUUGAAAUAUCAAUUUUACAAGGUAAAAUCUGAUUCUAAGUUGUAGAUAUGGAUGCAUGGCAAUCCUGUUUAAGUAACUCGUAGUUGAGUGUGUUUGUUGAGAGACUCUGAAAGCCAUAGGUGCGUAAUAGAUGCAUUUAACACAACAGAUGCACCAACAAACAUACACCCAACCCCCUCCCCCCCCCUCCAGACAAGCUGUUUGUAGAAAGUUCAUUUGAGUUCAGCAUAUAUAACUCUCUUUAAGAUGAUUUCUAGAUAUCAAGCUAAAAAGUUGAGGGGAGACUAGAAGGUAUAAAAUCAUGUUAUCCUGCUAGCUUGCUUAAUAUUCUGUUAAAUCAUGCAUGUUUAACUAUCGUUGCAUGGGUUCACUGUAAGUUGAUCAUUCUGAUGUUUUUCUGGUCUACUGUGAAUGUGAAGCUCUGGUCUAUUGACCUACUAUUUAUCUUUAUGCUUGUGAUUUCUAUCGGCCAAUGUAUACUUUCCUUUCCUUUGACUGUUAAAUAUAUUAUACUGUCUUUAACCCCUCUGUGGCAUUUAGGAUUGCUAUUGCUUUUUA